Podarcis lilfordi (Lilford's wall lizard) is the source of this 10126-nucleotide non-coding RNA. The record is from the annotation of a GenBank genome assembly. NCBI's taxonomy places the organism in Eukaryota, Metazoa, Chordata, Lepidosauria, Squamata, Lacertidae.
CAAGAGGAACAGCCAUUUUAGAUCUGGUCCUAACCAAUGUUGAUGACCUGGUUAGUGGGGUAGAAGUGGAAGGAUCAUUAGGCGCGAGUGAUCAUGCUCUUCUGAAGUUUACUAUACAGCGGAAAGGAGCAGCCAAGCAUACUAGGACUCAAUUUCUUGACUUUAAGAAACCUGACUUCAUAAAACUUAGGGAAGUGCUGGGUGAGAUCCCAUGGACAGUAAUACUAAAAGGAAAGGGAGUUCAUGAUGGCUGGGAGUUUGUUAAGAGGGAGAUAGUAAAAGCACAACGUCAGGCAAUACCAAUGAGACGGAAACAUGGAAGGUGCCUAAAGAAGCCAGGGUGGCUAUCUAAAGAACUUUUAACUGAGUUAAGAUUAAAAAGGAUGUGUACAAAAAUGGAAAAGGGAGGAAACCACCAAAGAGGAAUUCAAACAAAUAGCCAGCACGUGUAGACACAAAGUCAGAAAAGCUAAAGCAGAGAAUGAACUCAGGCUUGCUAGAGAGGUUAAAAGCAACAAAAACGGCUUUUAUGGGUAUGUUCGUAGCAAAAGGAAGAACAAAGAAACAGUGGGGUCACUCAGAGGAGAAGAUGGUGAAAUGCAAACAGGGGACACAGAAAGGGCUGAACUCCUCAAUGCCUUCUUUGCCUCAGUCUUCUCCGAUAAAGAAAACAAUGCCCGACCUGAAGAAUUUGGAGCAAAUGAUUCAGCAGAGGAAACACAGUCCAGAAUAACUAAGGAGAUAGUACAAGAAUACUUGGCUAGUUUAGAUGUAUUCAAGUCUCCAGGGCCAGAUGAACUGCAUCCAAGAGUAUUAAAAGAACUGGCAGAUGUGAUCUCAGAACCACUGGCUGUCAUCUUUGAAAAUUCCUGGAGAACAGGCGAAGUCCCGGCAGACUGGAGGAGGGCAAAUGUUGUCCCUAUUUUCAAAAAGGGGAAAAGAGAGGACCCAAAUAAUUACCGCCCAGUCAGUCUGACAUCAAUACCAGGGAAGAUUCUGGAGCAGAUCAGUAAGCAAACAGUCUGUGAGCACCUAGAAAGGAAUGCUGUGAUCACCAAUAGUCAGCAUGGAUUUCUGAAAAAUAAGUCAUGUCAGACUAACCUGAUCUUUUUUUUGACAGAAUUACAAGCCUGGUAGAUGAAGGGAACGCAGUGGAUGUAGCCUACCUUGAUUUCAGCAAGGCAUUUGACAAGGUGCCCCAUGAUAUUCUUGUAAAGAAGCUGGUAAAAUGUGGUCUUGACUAUGCUACCACUCAGUGGAUUUGUAACUGGCUGACUGACCAAACCCAAAGGGUGCUCAUCAAUGGUUCCUCUUCAUCCUGGAGAAGAGUGACUAGUGGGGUGCCACAGGGUUCUGUCUUGGGCCUGGUCUUAUUCAACAUCUUUAUCAACGACUUGGAUGAUGGACUCAAGGGCAUCCUGAUCAAAUUUGCAGAUGACACCAAACUGGGAGGGUGGCUAACACCCCAGAGGACAGGAUCACACUUCAAAACGACCUUGACAGAUUAGAGAACUGGGCCAAAACAAACAAGAUGAAUUUUAACAGGGAGAAAUGUAAAGUAUUGCACUUGGGCAAAAAAAAUGAGAGGCACAAAUACAAGAUGGGUGACACCUGGCUUGAGAGCAGUACAUGUGAAAAGGAUCUAGGAGUCUUGGUUGACCACAAACUUGACAUGAGCCAACAGUGUGACGCGGCAGCUGAAAAAGCCAAUGCAAUUCUGGGCUGCAUCAAUAGGAGUAUAGCAUCUAGAUCAAGGGAAGUAAUAGUGCCACUGUAUUCUGCUCUGGUCAGACCUCACCUGGAGUACUGUGUCCAGUUCUGGGCACCACAGUUCAAGAAGGACACUGACAAACUGGAACGUGUCCAGAGGAGGGCAACCAAAAUGGUCAAAGGCCUGGAAACGAUGCCUUAUGAGGAACGGCUAAGGGAGCUGGGCAUGUUUAGCCUGGAGAAGAGGAGGUUAAGGGGUGAUAUGAUAGCCAUGUUCAAAUAUAUAAAAGGAUGUCACAUAGAGGAGGGAGAAAGGUUGUUUUCUGCUGCUCCAGAGAAGCGGACACGGAGCAAUGGAUGCAAACUACAAGAAAGAAGAUUCCACCUAAACAUUAGGAAGAACUUCCUGACAGUAAGAGCUGUUCGACAGUGGAAUUUGCUGCCAAGGAGUGUGGUGGAGUCUCCUUCUUUGGAGGUCUUUAAGCAGAGGCUGACAACCAUAUGUCAGGAGUGCUCUGAUGGUGUUUCCUGCUUGGCAGGGGGUUGGUCUCGAUGGCCCUUGUGGUCUCUUCCAACUCUAUGAUUCUAUGAUUCUAUGAAUGAGAGUCUAAAGGCAUGUGUUGUGGGUCUGAAGCUGGUCGGUGCUUGAACAGGAUUGUUUUUUUUUCUGAGAGUUUCUUGAGAGCGAACUGUUUCGAACCUCUUGCAGGAAGAGAAGGAAGAAGGUAAGAUUAUAUAAAUAAAGUGAAUAAUGUGUAGUCUUCAACCACCUUAAAGAGGCAUCUUAAAAGUGCAGAAGAGUGAUACAAUAAAAGCAAUAUAUUUGUUUUAGGGUGAAAAUGGAGAGUAAAGAGGGAAAACAAAAUUACAAAACCUGCACCAAUUUCUAUUAUUUGCCUUUCUCUUUGAUUUUAAAUGCAUGUUAGCUAACAUUCUGCCUUCUACCGUAGAACAAGCACACACACAGGCAAAUAGUCACAAGACUACACGAUUUCCUAAAUCACCUUCUCCAGCCUAAUACUGGCUGGAGCUGAUGGGAAAACAUUUGGAGGACAGCACUUUGGGAAAGGUUGUCCUAAACAUACACUCAUGUAGGGGGAGGUGACCUCUCUGUUAUUCUCUUUUUCAUUUGGACUGCCCAACCAGAAAUCAAAUACUUCUUAUGAUCAUGACAAUCUUCCUUUCAGUGAAUGUUACUUUUUCUCAAAAUGUCAUUAAAAGGGGGAUAAAAUCAGCAGUCAUGUCAUGCAUCGGGAUGGAUUCCUAAAUGUAAAUGAGAAUCUUGCAGUAAUUUAUUUACAUUUGUUUUCAGCACAACAAAUGAGACAUCACGUAGCUCCAUAAUUUCCCAUGACCGAGUCACCGGCAUGCAAUGUGUAAUUUACUAUGAUUUAAGAUGCUUAUCGGCAGGUUCUUGAAGCAGUACCUGGUGACUUUUUUUAUAAUACUUUCUCGUGACGGCCUUCACUCACUUCAUCCUACAUAUAUCCCCAUCUGGUUUAUUUCUAAGCUGAAACAAAAUUAUAAUCUUUUGUUUUUACUUGCCUUUCUGAGUUGGAACUAAGACAACCUAAUAAGACAGGCUUUUCAUGAAAGUUCUGGAAUUUGCACAGAUGUUAAGGCCUUUCAUGUCACCUCCUUUAUCUGAAGUUCUGUUGGUAAAGAACGAAAGAGCCUUUUCCACCCAUCUUUCCCAUUCUUUCCCUCUUCUGUGUUUGCUGUUUUCAUUGCUUAUAUUUUGAAAUAUUAUAGUCUUUCAUGAUACUAUAGGCCACUUUUACUGGAUACUUAGGUUAGAAAAAUGAGUGUACGAAUUAAACUAAACAAACAUUUACCUGUCUUAACCACAGUGUUGUUUUUGAAGGCUGAACUGGUGGUGUAGUGUGAGGGCAUAUGCACCUAAGCAGGAGUUGAUGAACCUUUUCAUUCAUGAAUUAAGUUACCACUAGUGCUGAAGUGUUCAUGCCACUACCUCCUGUGGUGCCACAAAAUGUCUCAGUAAAUAUCCCUUCAGACAUACGCAAUGCACAAGAGAUUGAUUGCACUUCCUGCUUUAGCCUUUGCAUCCACAGCCCUACACUGAUACCACCCUUAAAUAUGCCUACAUUUUAUUGGAUGCCAGGAGUGGACACCCUCCCUUCCAUUCUGAACAGAGGAGAGAUGCAAAGGCCUAUCUGUGAGCAAGUACAGCAGUGGCUGAUGUAGGCGUCUUUUUUCCUUUGAUGUGGGACAGGUUGUGGGAAAUGCACAUGCCCACACCAUUUGUGUUCCUGUUACUUGGUCUGCUCUUUUAUAUGAGCCGUUUUUUAUUAUGCCAUGUGCCCCAUGACAGCCAUUCCAAGAAUAGGCCAUCCUCUUAGGCAGUGCUUUUUUUUUCUUAAAAAAGAAAAGAAAAGAAAGGUGCCUGUACUCACCAUGAAGUUGUUACAGUAAGUGCCACACUUUUUAACAACAACAAAAAGAGGUGCCGGUAGUGCGUACCCUUGAAUACCCCCUGAAAAAAGCACUGCUCUUAGGACUUAAUUAUUGCAUAAGAAGCUAUUUAUGACAGUGCAGUCCUAUGGCAUUUCCACUCCUUGUUCAGGAUGUAUUUUUCAGACCCCUGAAACACUUCCUGAAUAAUUCCAAAGUUGGUGAGUGGCCUCUCCUGGACUUAAAUUGAUGCAGGGCAUGCUACCCAGGUCAAAAUUGCUAAUGCCAACACCAUUGUAUUCUGUUUUCCCCUUCUGAUAGCGAGUUUCCCUUCCCAAUCUAGACUUUUAAGGUUUUCUUCCCUAUAGUUUGACAGAUAUGUGCUCAUUCCACACCACGAGGAUGUGACUUGAUUCAGCAUUGGCAGACUCAUUUUAAGUGCGGUAAUCAUGGCUCCUGGACAGAAAAGUUGUUUUAGCUACAGCUGCACAACUACCACUCUCCCAGCACAAGAAUAUUUGUAAGAUCAUGCUGGAAUUACAUAUUAUAAAUUGUACAUAAAUGCUCACUUUUUGAUUUGACGGAAUACUGUGUACACCUGUAACUUGAAAUAAAAUCAUCACCAAAAUUUUAUAUUAUCUUUGCAUUUUUGUUGAAUGUAAAGCAUAAACUGUAGAUAAUGCUCAAAUCAUUUUAGUUCAGAUUCUGAGCAAUUGGUUUGGGGCUCCAAGCCUUUGCUCAGCAUUAUGCAGACAUCAAUCCUUUUUAUGCUAAGGGCCAGUAUAUCUUCAGAUUAUUUACAGAGCUGCAGAUAAAUUGCAGAAUCUCCAAGACAAAAGAUUGCUGUAAGCAAAUUAUUUGUCCAGUGUUCUUUUAGAAUAUACUCAUAUUGUAUUCUACAUGUUUUGAAUAAGAUUUUAAAACAGCUGUAUAAAUUUUUGUCUGGCUUUGAGAGGAAAGUUUCUUUUUUUGGCAAAUAGUGGGCUUCCUUCCUAGGGGAAAAAUACCUUACAGUGUCAAGAUCCCUAGCAUUUGGGGAUGUUUUCUACUAAUUGAACCUAAUACUUGCACUUUGAAAUCUGAUUCAGGAAAUGUUAACAGGCAACUGUCAAGGAUAGACUAUUCUGGGACAGGCUGUGCUUGCUUAUUACUUAAUUUUGUACUCCACUAAGCAUCUAUUCAUUUGCACAGUCUUAUUCUCAACAGGAACACACUGAUUUUUCCCCUGUUUCAAUUUUCUUUUCAAAAAUAGCUUUCUAGUGGAUGCGUGAGUCCCAUAUAUUUUCCCAAAAAUCAUUAUUCAUAUUUUUAAGUUGUUAGCAACAUUUGCUUCUACUAUCUGCUACUUUAGCAACUGUCUUUCUUCUUCAGAGCUUAUUUCUCUUUCCUGAGUGUGAUUCAUGUACUGUAUUCAUGAUGUGAACAUGAUGAUGUCAUGAUUAUUGGUGAACUACUGACAUUACAAAGGGAAAAUGAAACCCAUUCAGAUUGCGGUCAGGUCUUCAUAAGUGACUCCAUAGACUAGUGUGGGCAACCUUUGGCCCUUCAGAUGUUGCUGAACUGUAACUCUCAUCUGUCCCAACCAGCAUGGCCAGUGGCCACGGGUAAUGGAAAUUUUAGCUCAGCAACUUUUGGAGGGCCAAAGGUUCCCCAUACCAGAUCUAUGGGAUAUAGAAAUCUAGAACAUAAGUAAUUGGCAGAUAGUGAACAUGGUGAUGUCGCUGAGUUCAAAUUUAAGGCUAUUGAAUGAAAUGUUUACGUGUAUUUUUUGUUUGUUUGGUCACUCUACAAAGAAUGAGAACAAUUAAGUUGUAGUGGUAGCCACCAACUUGGAUGGUUUUAACAUAGGAUCAGACAAAUUAAUGGAGGAUAAGACUAUCUUCUACCACCUCUGAUAGAAGCAGUAUGCCUCUAAAUACCAGCUGCUGGGAAUCAGAAGUGGGAAGCAUGCUGUUACACUCAUGUCUACCUUUCAGGCUUCCCGUUGCAUCUGGUUGGCUACUGUAGGAACAGCAUAAUGGACUAGAUGGACUUUUGGUCUGAUCAAGCAGGGCUCUUAAAUUGUUGGUGGUACUAUUGAGGUUCAGAUGUAUAUGAAAUAGGCUCAAUUUAAGUAACCUGCUUUAGGACUGUGGUCAAAAUGAUUGAUUUGGUGAUAUUAUAUUGAGUAAUGUAGAAUGUUUUGUAUAGUAUGUGUUUAAUAUUUACAUAACAUUUGUAUAUUUAUAGCUUGAUCAAUUUAGUCUUUAGAUCUUUGUAUUUUGAAAUUGUAAUCAAAUUGUUUAAUAAUUAGAAUGGUAAAAUAAAAAUGCUGAUAGAGGGACACUGUGCCUUUUGACACUGAAAAUAUUAAACUCACCUUAUCCAUUUGGCUCAGUCUUAAUUUAGAAUUCUAAGGUGAGUGCUGAUUGGGCAAUUUUAAAAAAAUAAGCAUAACAUCUGUAUCUGUUCUCUUUUGCUUUUUUUUUAAUUCAAAAGUAAACUCCAUCCAAUUUGAUGAAAUUUGCUUCUAAGUAACUAUGCAAGACUGGAGUAGAUCAGGGCUAGUGGUCCUAUGCUUUUUCAAUGAUGCCAGAGGGAUGAAACCCACUUUUUGGAAAAUCUUGAACCCUGUCUUUUUAUACAGGCAGAAUCAGAAGCGCCAUGUGAAAUGUGUGGCUUAACCAGUACUCUUUGGCUUAUUUUCCAUUGAACACAUCUGUGCUUGACUAUAGGAGCUAGUGCCCUACUUGGCAUCUUUCUUGAGCUUGAGUAUCUGAUGUUUUAAUCUUGAUUGUUUUGUGUUUUGGAAUCAAAGAAGGAAGCUGCACCAAACUUAAUGCUGACACUAUGGAUAUAGUAAUAGUUCUGCAAAUUCAUAUCUAUUGUAUUUUAUGCCAGUUUAACUGUCAUGGCUUUCCCAAAGAUUCCUGGGAAAUACAGUUUUGAGAGUCUGCUUCAAAUUAUUUGCUGGCAAUCCCUAGGAUCUUUCAUUGGACUACAGGGGUUCUCUGGGGACAGAUAAUGUGUAUUAACCCAGUUUUAAGUUUGCACUCAAACUCUCCGUUUUGAAAACAUUAAGUUCCAUUUUGCAUAUCACUCAACUGCUUGUCUCCUUAAUUCCAAUCAACAUCUCACUUAUUGCUAGAGUCAACACUCCAGUGGUAACAAAAAAUAAAACCUUUCAUCAUCUAUUGAUUUGCCGUCUUGAAAAAAAUGACAAUAGGCUAUUUUUGUCCAAUUUCUCAAUAACUAGAGCCAUUUAUUGGUUUUUCAGUUUUACUAUAUUGCACAAGAAUGUAUUUUACUGCAUUUUUGAAAACUGCAGUAUCAAGAUGCAAUGUUUUGUAGUUUUUGCAAGCAAAUUCAGAAAUUGUAUAGUCCAACUGAGAGCUAUAAAGAUACCUGCCAUAUUUGUAAUAGUAUCUUAAUUCAAAUUUAACUGCAGAGGGCAAUCGGGCAUUUGUUAACCUAGUAGACUACUGAAAAAUAUCUUUAGACAAACUUGGUUUUUUAAAGUUAUAUUGUUUCGUAAGUCAUGGAAACAUGAACAUUGUGUUUGUGAUUUUGUCACAGGAGUCCAGUGUGAGCUUGAGAAAUAACUACAGCUUCAGCUAGGUGAGAUUUGUACCUAAAGGUGCAUAUCCUUUUCUGUGAUUUACACUUUCUAACAUUCUAAACUACGGUACAUUUUAUGAGUUAUGAAUCUUGCUUGUUUAAAUAUUUUUUUUUUAAAAAAACCACACACAACAGGAUUCCUGGUUCACAUAUAACACAAAGCAAGAUUUUAGCCACACAGGAGUAGAGGUGACCAUGCAAAAGAGGGAGCUUUGGGCUUCCUAAGGCUCACCCUUUUAGUGUUAAACUAUGGCACCAAGACUUUUGUGUUUGUAAAACAAAGGAAUGGGGUAAAAAUUGGCGUUUCUUGAGUUUUAUGUGGUUUCAGUCCAAAAAACUGAACUGAACUGUGGCAUCAGGAUGAUCGUCCAAUAAGUUAAUUUAUCCCUUUCCGUGUAAAUACAAUGUAACUCUAAGUUGGAAAGGAAAAAUAUUCUUUAUACAGCAGGAUAUAGAUGAUAGUACUAGCAAAUGGAAAAUGUGACAUUCAGCUACAAGAAAAACAAGGAAGACCCAAUAGAAAGAAACUCAAAAUUGAAUGUAGCAUAAAGGGAAAAGAGAGUCAUAUAUGUAACUAAUACCAUGCUAUUUAUUGAAAUCUCACCAGUGACCUUUACAGCAGCAGUGCUUCAAUGUAUAGUUAUGCAGAAAAGGAAAGUGAUGGCUAUUAUAAAGGGAACAUAUGAUUGGAUUUAGAUUCAUGGGGAUGUAGGUUUUGAAGAGGUGCCCUUCAUUAUCUGUGGAGCAUGUAUAUCUAUAGUAAGACUUAUUUCAUUGUGGUCCUUGAAAAUAUGCUGCAUUCAUUCCUGCUUAUUUCAGGUCCGGUAGCAAAUUUCUAAAGUUUGCUUUGGGUGUUACCAAUACAUAUUAGGGGAGAUGUUUGUGACUGAUUAGUAAUUAUAGUUCAGCAUAUUUUGUUUGGAGUUUAUGUUCAAUGCUUUGAGUUGAAGUUUCCAGUACAGUCUCAGCACUGUUGUUGUUAAACUUUGUAUAUCUCCUUCCUCAAUAGACCACAAGGUGUUUCACAGCAUAAAAAUACAAGAUAAAAAAGGUUCCUAUCCAUAUUACUAAUUUAAUUUCAAAUCUAAUUAACAACUUCUCCUUGUGGGGUGUGUGGAGUAGAGAUGAACUACAUUGUUAAUCCUAGAGUUCAAAAUGUUGUCGCUGUAUUGUUUGUAUCCCUUGGUUAGAUAAAUAAACAAUCAUAAGCUUUUUCAAGCACAUGCUUUUAAUGUCAUUUUUUUUGGCAGGUGAAAAAUUUCUUAUGAAGUCUUGAAGAUACAUUUAAGGCAAUAUUUAAGUAAAUAUUCACAAAAUGAAUUCAGUUAUACAAGGGAUAUUCUACUUUAUUUAAUAAUAAUAAUAAUUUAAGUAGCUUGGGGGCUGGGGAGAACCCCAGUUCAAAACACUGGCUGCUUAAGGGUAGAGAACUAAAUCUCUCUGCAAUUUUAUUUCCAAUACAAAUGCACAGGCAUCAUAGUAGUUAAAUCAGUGAUAGAAGUAUGUCUUGCAAUAACAUUUAGUACCUUUUUAGCGAUCAUCUAACACCCGUGUCUUCAUCACGCUUCACAGGCUACCAAACAGAAGCAAUUUUUGUUUCCAAAUACAAGGUGAGCUUCUAGAGGGAUUUUUAAAUAAAAUAUUGUUGUGAAAAGGAAGAGAGUACUGCAUACAGGUGAAAGGUGGAGUUUUCCAGGGUGUAGAAUGGAGUGUUUGUCUCUUUUCUUCACAGGAGGUAAAACAUCAUGGGGUAUCUCACCUUUUCUACUCUCCUAUUGUUUUCACAUCCAUCCCAUUAUAGGAUCACGUGGAUCCAGCACCUUCAAUUCAUUUCAGUUCUGUCACUUAUGAAGCUAGAUGUGUCUCAGUACUAAGUCUUCUCUACAGUCCCUUUGGGCAUUCCUUAUAGUUAUUCUUGCUGCCAAUAUUCUAUUAGAAAAUUCACCAUGUACCCUUAAACCUACACCCCAGCUCAAUUCCUGAGUUAAAGGCUACUGGAGAAUGCUUCUGUUUUUCAUAUUUUAACAGGGUCUCAAAGAGGUGGUAGUUGUUUAAAUUUGCAAACUUUAAUAGGGAAUUUGCAUUCUGUUCUUCACACAACUUUGGCUACUACAAGUCCAAUUGGAUUUUGUUUUCCUUAAAUUUUUUUUGUUUGUUACAUUUCUAUCACACUCUUUUCCAAGUAUCUCAUCCUGAGCUAUAAAUCAUUAUUAUUUUAAUUUACAAAUAGGAUCUGAGGCGAGGAGCUAAGUCACUUUCCCACAAAAUGAGUCCAUGUCCUAGAGCUGUUCAACAGUGGAAUUUGCUGCCAAGGAGUGUGGUGGAGUCUCCUUUGGAGGUCUUUAAGCAGAGGCUUGACAACCAUAUGUCAGGAGUGCUCUGAUGGUGUUUCCUGCUUGGCAGGGGG